GAGUUUGAUCCUGGCUCAGGACGAACGCUGGCGGCGCGCCUAACACAUGCAAGUCGAACGAGAGAGAAGGAGCUUGCUUCUUCGAUCGAGUGGCGAACGGGUGAGUAACGCGUGAGGAACCUGCCUCAAAGAGGGGGACAACAGUUGGAAACGACUGCUAAUACCGCAUAAGCCCACGGGUCGGCAUCGACCUGAGGGAAAAGGAGCGAUCCGCUUUGAGAUGGACUCGCGUCCGAUUAGCUAGAUGGUGAGGUAACGGCCCACCAUGGCGACGAUCGGUAGCCGGACUGAGAGGUUGAACGGCCACAUUGGGACUGAGACACGGUCCAGACACCUACGGGUGGCAGCAGUGGGGAAUAUUGCACAAUGGGGGAAACCCUGAUGCAGCGACGCCGCGUGGAGGAAGAAGGUCUUCGGAUUGUAAACUCCUGUUGUUGAGGAAGAUAAUGACGGUACUCAACAAGGAAGUGACGGCUAACUACGUGCCAGCAGCCGCGGUAAUAC
RNAcentral lists this ribosomal RNA (504 nucleotides) under uncultured bacterium. RNAcentral describes it as "bacterial SSU rRNA". It matches the Rfam family "Bacterial small subunit ribosomal RNA", at positions 9 to 526 of the family's 1533-position model. The record is from RNAcentral.